This 748-nucleotide ribosomal RNA is filed under the name uncultured crenarchaeote. Its description in RNAcentral is "bacterial SSU rRNA". It matches the Rfam family "Archaeal small subunit ribosomal RNA", at positions 5 to 728 of the family's 1478-position model. The record is from RNAcentral. Lineage: Archaea; Thermoproteati; Thermoproteota.
CGGUUGAUCCUGCCGGACCCCACUGCUAUCGGGAUGGGAUUAAGACAUGCUAGUCGUGCGCCUCCAAGCCACAGUGGGGGCGCGGCGCACAGCUCAGUAACACGUGGCUAACCUACCCUUGGGACGGAAACAACCCCGGGAAACUGGGGCUAAUUUCCGAUAGGUGAAGACUCCUGGAAUGGGUCUUCGCCCAAAAGGCGUUUAGACCAUGCUUCUAAGCGCCGCCCAAGGAUGGGGCCGCGGCCGAUCAGGUUGUUGGUGAGGUAACGGCUCACCAAGCCUAUAACCGGUACGGGCCGUGGGAGCGGUAGCCCGGAGAUGGACACUGAGACAAGGGUCCAUGCCCUACGGGGCGCAGCAGUCGCGAAACCUCCGCAAUACACGCAAGUGUGACGGGGCCAUCCCGAGUGCCAUCCGCUGAGGAUGGCUUUUCCCCAGUGUAGACAGCUGGGGGAAUAAGGAGAGGGCAAGUCGGGUGUCAGCCGCCGCGGUAAUACCCGCUCUCCGAGUGGUGGGGACGCUUAUUGGGCCUAAAGCAUCCGUAGCCGGCUGGGUAAGUCCCCUGUCAAAUCCAGCGAUUCAAUCGCUGGACUGCGGGGGAUACUGUCCAGCUAGGGGGCGGGAGAGGCCGACGGUAUUCCCGGGGUAGGGGUGAAAUCUUAUAAUCCCGGGAGGACCACCAGUGGCGAAGGCUGUCGGCUGGAACGCGCCCGACGGUGAGGGAUGAAAGCUGGGGGAGCGAACCGGA